Molecule: ribosomal RNA, 429 nt
Filed under: Pseudomonadota bacterium
Lineage: Bacteria; Pseudomonadati; Pseudomonadota
Description: Proteobacteria bacterium partial 16S ribosomal RNA
Rfam family: Bacterial small subunit ribosomal RNA
Source: RNAcentral
UGGGGAAUAUUGGACAAUGGGCGAAAGCCUGAUCCAGCCAUGCCGCGUGAGUGAAGAAGGUCUUCGGAUUGUAAAGCACUUUAAGUUGGGAGGAAGGGCAGUAAGCGAAUACCUUGCUGUUUUGACGUUACCGACAGAAUAAGCACCGGCUAACUCUGUGCCAGCAGCCGCGGUAAUACAGAGGGUGCAAGCGUUAAUCGGAAUUACUGGGCGUAAAGCGCGCGGAGGUGGUUGGUUAAGUUGAAUGUGAAAGCCCCGGGCUCAACCUGUGAACAGAAUACAAAACUGGCUAGCUAGAGUAGGGCAGAGGGUAGUGUAAUUUCCUGUGUAGCUGUGAAAUGCGUAGAUAUAGGAAGAAACACCAGUGGGGAAGGCGACCACCUAGGCUCAUACUGACACUGAGGUGCGAAAGCGUGGGGAGCAAACAGG